This is a non-coding RNA of Schizosaccharomyces pombe (fission yeast), 519 nucleotides long. The record is from the annotation of a GenBank genome assembly. Lineage: Eukaryota; Fungi; Ascomycota; Schizosaccharomycetes; Schizosaccharomycetales; Schizosaccharomycetaceae.
GUGUAAUCAUUAGUAGUAAGCAAAAGGUCAACUUUUAGGCAUAUACUUUCAUACACCUUGUUUCAGAAUGUAUAACCUCACACCCUUUUGAGCAAUAACUAGUUCCACAAUUUUGACAAGCAUAUUUUCCCCAAUAACCACAUACAUUACAGAAUUUUCGCGGAGGUUUGUAAGACGGUUUUGCAACACAGGUAUUAUACCUACUAUUUGGCUAUAUAUGGUUAGAGUAAAUAAAAUCAGCUUACAAUUUGCAUACAGUUUCAUCAAGGUAAUUAACGAAUGUUUUCCUCGAAGAUAGAAUUCGUCGAACACUUAUAGGUAGAACUCGUCUCUGAACUGUAACAAGUUAGAUUGAGCAGACGUAUCAUAGAUCAGAUUACAUACGCAAAUCUUUUGGGAUUUCAAAUCUAAUGUCCGAAAAAUUAUCCUUCUCCAAGUCUGCAAGGUUUCGUUUUAAUUGUCGUUCACGAGUAACUGGAUCGACAACGCUCUAUCAUCCAUUAGAUCAGUUCCUUUGUA